Molecule: ribosomal RNA, 468 nt
Filed under: uncultured bacterium
Lineage: Bacteria
Description: partial 16S ribosomal RNA
Rfam family: Bacterial small subunit ribosomal RNA
Source: RNAcentral
GACGAACGCUGGCGGCGUGCUUAACACAUGCAAGUCGAACGGAAAGGCCCUGCUUUUGUGGGGUGCUCGAGUGGCGAACGGGUGAGUAACACGUGAGUAACCUGCCCUUGACUUUGGGAUAACUUCAGGAAACUGGGGCUAAUACCGGAUAGGAGCUCCUGCUGCAUGGUGGGGGUUGGAAAGUUUCGGCGGUUGGGGAUGGACUCGCGGCUUAUCAGCUUGUUGGUGGGGUAGUGGCUUACCAAGGCUUUGACGGGUAGCCGGCCUGAGAGGGUGACCGGCCACAUUGGAACUGAGAUACGGCCCAGACUCCUACGGGAGGCAGCAGUGGAGAAUAUAGCACAAUGGGCGGAGGCCUGAUGCAGCAACGCCGCGUGCGGGAAGACGGCCAUCGGGUUGUAAACCAAUUUCGCCUGUGACGAAACGUGAGUGACGGUAAUGGGUAAAGAAGCACCGGCUAACUACGUG